This 250-nucleotide long non-coding RNA is filed under the name Setaria italica (foxtail millet). RNAcentral's name for it is "long non-coding RNA (SITA_LNC000859)". Lineage: Eukaryota; Viridiplantae; Streptophyta; Magnoliopsida; Poales; Poaceae. The record is from RNAcentral.
GGCAAUGGUUGCUGUAAUCUGUGGUGUAUCGUACGCGGUGGAGGAAGCUCAUGACAAGCUGGUAGUUCUAUCCAAGGAUGAGAAGACCAGAGAAAUUGUCAACAACCUUCUGGAUAUGGUGAGAAAUUACUUGGAAGAGAUUAGUCUGGUUGGUGAAAUUCUCAAGAAGAUGAAGAGUGGGACUGCAUGGGUAAUCGGCAAGAUCGGCAACGGCACUGUUUGGAUUGUUGGGGAGAUUGGCAAUGGAGCU